RNAcentral lists this non-coding RNA (25 nucleotides) under Rattus norvegicus (Norway rat). Lineage: Eukaryota; Metazoa; Chordata; Mammalia; Rodentia; Muridae. The record is from RNAcentral.
UCUGAGAUGAGGGCACAGGGCUCCU